GGCCACUUGGCGGAGUGGCAACGCACCGGACUGCAAAUCCGGGCUACUUGGUUCGAUUCCAGGGGUGGCCUCCA
This 74-nucleotide transfer RNA is filed under the name Hyphomonadaceae bacterium. RNAcentral's name for it is "tRNA-Cys". It matches the Rfam family "tRNA". Rfam says of the family: Transfer RNA (tRNA) molecules are approximately 80 nucleotides in length. Their secondary structure includes four short double-helical elements and three loops (D, anti-codon, and T loops). Lineage: Bacteria; Pseudomonadati; Pseudomonadota; Alphaproteobacteria; Hyphomonadales; Hyphomonadaceae. The record is from RNAcentral.